Molecule: ribosomal RNA, 468 nt
Filed under: uncultured bacterium
Lineage: Bacteria
Description: partial 16S ribosomal RNA
Rfam family: Bacterial small subunit ribosomal RNA
Source: RNAcentral
GACGAACGCUGGCGGCGUGCUUAACACAUGCAAGUCGAACGGAAAGGCCCUGCUUUUGUGGGGUGCUCGAGUGGCGAACGGGUGAGUAACACGUGAGUAACCUGCCCUUGACUUUGGGAUAACUUCAGGAAACUGGGGCUAAUACCGGAUAGGAGCUCCUGCUGCAUGGUGGGGGUUGGAAAGUUUCGGCGGUUGGGGAUGGACUCGCGGCUUAUCAGCUUGUUGGUGGGGUAGUGGCUUACCAAGGCUUUGACGGGUAGCCGGCCUGAGAGGGUGACCGGGCACCUUGGGCCUACGAUACGGCCCAGACUGCAACCUGAGGCAGCAGUCGAAAGUUUGACACAGCAAGGCGACGUCUGAUGCGGAAAUGCCGCGUUCGUGAUGACGUGUUACUGGUUGAGAACCGCUGUCGCAUGAAACGUAGAGGGAGUGACGGUAAUUGAUAAAAAAGCCCCGGCUAACUACGUG